AUCAUUUCUUGGCCUUUUGGCUAAGAUCAAGUGUAGUAUAUAAUAUACUACUUGUUAUAUGUAAUGUUUUUGUGGAGGUUUU
Molecule: small nuclear RNA, 82 nt
Organism: Rattus norvegicus (Norway rat)
Lineage: Eukaryota; Metazoa; Chordata; Mammalia; Rodentia; Muridae
Gene: Rnu2-60
Product: RNA, U2 small nuclear 60
Source: Ensembl